This 522-nucleotide ribosomal RNA is filed under the name uncultured bacterium. Its description in RNAcentral is "partial 16S ribosomal RNA". It matches the Rfam family "Bacterial small subunit ribosomal RNA", at positions 355 to 867 of the family's 1533-position model. The record is from RNAcentral.
UGGGGAAUAUUGCACAAUGGGCGCAAGCCUGAUGCAGCCAUGCCGCGUGUGUGAAGAAGGCCUUCGGGUUGUAAAGCACUUUCAGCGAGGAGGAAGGGUAGUGUGUUAAUAGCACAUUGCAUUGACGUUACUCGCAGAAGAAGCACCGGCUAACUCCGUGCCAGCAGCCGCGGUAAUACGGAGGGUGCAAGCGUUAAUCGGAAUUACUGGGCGUAAAGCGCACGCAGGCGGUUUGUUAAGUCAGAUGUGAAAUCCCCGCGCUUAACGUGGGAACUGCAUUUGAAACUGGCAAGCUAGAGUCUUGUAGAGGGGGGUAGAAUUCCAGGUGUAGCGGUGAAAUGCGUAGAGAUCUGGAGGAAUACCGGUGGCGAAGGCGGCCCCCCUGGACAAAGACUGACGCUCAGGUGCGAAAGCGUGGGGAGCAAAACAGGAUUAGAUACCCUGGUAGUCCACGCUGUAAAACGAUGUCGACUUGGAGGUUGUGCCCUUGAGGCGUGGCUUCCGAGCUAACGCGUUAAGUCG